RNAcentral lists this ribosomal RNA (142 nucleotides) under uncultured eukaryote. RNAcentral's name for it is "partial 18S ribosomal RNA". It matches the Rfam family "Eukaryotic small subunit ribosomal RNA", at positions 1299 to 1458 of the family's 1831-position model. The record is from RNAcentral.
UGGUGGAGUGAUUUGUCUGGUUAAUUCCGUUAACGAACGAGACCUCGACCUGCUAAAUAGGGGUCCGAAUCCUCUGGAUUGGGGCCGCCUUCUUAGAGGGACUAUCGGAUGGUGUACCCGGUGGAAGUCCGAGGCAAUAACA